RNAcentral lists this ribosomal RNA (379 nucleotides) under uncultured cyanobacterium. RNAcentral describes it as "bacterial SSU rRNA". It matches the Rfam family "Bacterial small subunit ribosomal RNA", at positions 376 to 770 of the family's 1533-position model. The record is from RNAcentral. Lineage: Bacteria; Bacillati; Cyanobacteriota.
CGAAAGCCUGACGGAGCAACGCCGCGUGGGGGAAGAAGGUUCUUGGAUUGUAAACCCCUUUUCUCAGGGAAGAAGUUCUGACGGUACCUGAGGAAUCAGCCUCGGCUAACUCCGUGCCAGCAGCCGCGGUAAUACGGAGGAGGCAAGCGUUAUCCGGAAUCAUUGGGCGUAAAGCGUUCGUAGGCGGCUGUUCAAGUCUGCUGUCAAAGGUCGGAGCUCAACUCCGGUUCGGCAGUGGAAACUGGUGGGCUAGAGGGCGACAGGGGUAGAGGGAAUUCCCAGUGUAGCGGUGAAAUGCGUAGAGAUUGGGAAGAACACCGGUGGCGAAAGCGCUCUACUGGGUCGCACCUGACCCUCAGGGACGAAAGCUAAGGUAGCG